GGCUCGAUGGUGGAAUUGGUAGACACGAGGGCCUUAAAAGUCCUUAGUCAGUAAUGACUGUGCAGGUUCGACCCCUGUUCGAGCUA
This 86-nucleotide transfer RNA is filed under the name Caudoviricetes sp. RNAcentral's name for it is "tRNA-Leu". It matches the Rfam family "tRNA". Rfam says of the family: Transfer RNA (tRNA) molecules are approximately 80 nucleotides in length. Lineage: Duplodnaviria; Heunggongvirae; Uroviricota; Caudoviricetes. The record is from RNAcentral.